This 604-nucleotide ribosomal RNA is filed under the name uncultured bacterium. RNAcentral's name for it is "bacterial SSU rRNA". It matches the Rfam family "Bacterial small subunit ribosomal RNA", at positions 128 to 728 of the family's 1533-position model. The record is from RNAcentral.
GCCCUGCAGCGGGGGAUAACCCGGGGAAACCUCGGGCUAAUACCGCAUACGACAUACGGGUGAAAGGGGGCUUCGGCUCUCACUGCAGGAUGAGCCCUCAUCCGUUUAGCUUGUUGGUGAGGUAACGGCUCACCAAGGCGACGAUCGGUAGCUGGUCUGAGAGGAUGAUCAGCCACACUGGGACUGACGACACGGCCCAGACUCGUACGGGAGGCAGCAGAGGGGAAUAUUGGUCAAUGGGCGAAAGCCUGAUCCAGCAAUGCCGCGUGUGUGAAGAAGGCCUGCGGGUUGUUAAGCACUUUCAGCGAGGAAGAAAAGCCUAUGGUUAAUACCCAUGGGUCUAGACGUUACUCGCAGAAGAAGCACCGGCUAACUCCGUCGCCACCAGCCGCGGUAAUACGGAGGGUGCAAGCGUUAAUCGGAAUCACUGGGCGUAAAGCGCACGUAGGCGGCGAGGUCAGUCAGAUGUCGAAAGCCCCCGGCUUAACCUGGGAACUGCAUUUGAUACUGCCUGGCUAGAGUUUGAUAGCAGGGGGGUGGAAAUCCAGGUGUAGCGGUGAAAUGCGAAGAUAUCUGGAGGAACACCAGUGGCCAAGGCGGCCCC